This 87-nucleotide ribosomal RNA is filed under the name Shewanella fodinae. The record is from RNAcentral. Lineage: Bacteria; Pseudomonadati; Pseudomonadota; Gammaproteobacteria; Alteromonadales; Shewanellaceae.
UGACUCCAUCCCGAACUCAGAAGUGAAACACAAUCGCGCCGAUGGUAGUGUGGGGUCUCCCCAUGUGAGAGUAGGUCAUCGCCAAGC